Molecule: transfer RNA, 69 nt
Filed under: Chaoborus sp. ZK-2019
Lineage: Eukaryota; Metazoa; Arthropoda; Insecta; Diptera; Chaoboridae
Description: tRNA-Asn
Source: RNAcentral
UUAAUUGAAACCAAAAAAGAGGUUUAUCAUUGUUAAUGAUACUAUUGAAAAUUAAUAUUUCCAAUUAAA